CUCCAUGAGCCCCGUACCUGCUCCAUGCUAAGUGCCCUGGGCUCCCCAGCCAAGUCGGCGUUAGAGGCAGGAAAUUAACGACCCGGCGAGCACGAGCGAGAGAAGCGACUUCAUCUCCAGCUGCGGAAGGAGGGGACUCUCCCAGGGACGGAUCCCUCCGCCCCAGCCCUCGGCCUGCACCGCCCGGUAUCUCGUGCCUCCGGACUAGCGGCCCCCCGAGUCCUUUUAAAAGGGACCAUUAAAUAAGAGUCCCUCCCGAAAGCAGGAGCAGAAGUGGGCAGCUCGGUCAUCCAGGAGUUUCGACCCACCUCGCUGGCCCCCAGCCCAGCCCAGCCCAGCCCAGCCAGCGGACUCCAGGAACAUCCCGCCCACACUCCCCAAUGGAGUAAUCCCGCCGACUCCAAACCCAGCCAUAGUGGUUGUCCAGAUUGGCCAAUCGGACCACCUUCAACAUUUCCACCCAGGUGAAAAUCCCCAGGUACUGGAGAGCAGAAGAAAGGCAACAGUAAUCAGCUGUAGGCUUCAGAAAAGUCAAGGCAGGAGGGCACAGCCCAUGGAAAUGGCAAGCAAAAACUUCGAAGGCUCAGAACCAGCAGUCCAGCACCGACACUCUGACCUUCACCCUCUGUGUCAGCAUCCAGGGGAGUCUUCCAGAGGAAACUGACGCUCACCAAGAGGAAAUGUAAAGAGACAGCUUUGCCAUUCCUCAGCCAAGACCCCAGUCAGUCUCUCCAGAGGGAAGCCCCAGCACAAGCCCACCCAGCCCCAAGCUGCCUCCCUCGAGCUCAUUUGAGCCCUUCAGACAACCCUGAAGAGAAAACCCAACAAGACAACCACCAGGGUAGGGGCAGGUGAGGGGGGAUCUUUGAAGAAACAGACUUAGGCAAGGAGGAGAAAAUAUCAGAAAUAGCCGUAUUUAAUAUCCUCGAAGAGAUCAGAGGAGAUAUUGCAUCCCAGAACCAAGAGCAGGAUGCUAUUUUAAGGAGAACAUUUAGAGAACAAAAAGGGCUGGGAAAUUAAAAGCAUGAGAGCCGAAACAAAAAAAAAAAAACUCAACAGACUGGUUGGAA
This is a non-coding RNA of Heterocephalus glaber (naked mole-rat), 1070 nucleotides long. The record is from RefSeq and is a predicted model, not a curated record. NCBI's taxonomy places the organism in Eukaryota, Metazoa, Chordata, Mammalia, Rodentia, Bathyergidae.